GAUGAAGAACGUAGCGAAAUGCGAUAAGUAAUGUGAAUUGCAGAAUUCAGUGAAUCAUCGAAUCUUUGAACGCACAUUGCGCCCCCCAGUAUUCUGGCGGGCAUGCCUGUUCGAGCGUCAUUUCAACCAUCAAGCCCUGCUUGUGUUGGGGUCCUGCGGCUGCCCGCAGGCCCUGAAAACCAGUGGCGGGCUCGCUAGUCACACCGAGCGCAGGAGCACAUCUCGCUCAGGGCGUGCGGCGGGCUCCAGCCGUUAAAGCACCCACCUUUCGCAAGGUUGACCUCGGAUCAGGUAGGAAUACCCGCUGAACUUAAGCAUAUCAAUAAGCGGAGGA
RNAcentral lists this unclassified non-coding RNA (334 nucleotides) under soil metagenome. Its description in RNAcentral is "partial contains 5.8S ribosomal RNA, internal transcribed spacer 2, and large subunit ribosomal RNA". The stretch from base 1 to 120 matches the Rfam family "5.8S ribosomal RNA", at positions 35 to 154 of the family's 154-position model. The record is from RNAcentral.